RNAcentral lists this ribosomal RNA (497 nucleotides) under uncultured bacterium. RNAcentral's name for it is "partial 16S ribosomal RNA". It matches the Rfam family "Bacterial small subunit ribosomal RNA", at positions 28 to 507 of the family's 1533-position model. The record is from RNAcentral.
GACGAACGCUGGCGGCGUGCCUAAUACAUGCAAGUUGAGCGCUGAAGGUUGGUACUUGUCCCGACUGGCUGAGCAGCGAACGGGUGGGUAACGCGUGGGGAAUCUGCCUUUGAGCGGGGGACAACAUUUGGAAACGAAUGCUAAUACCGCAUAAAAACUUUAAACACAAGUUUUAAGUUUGAAAGAUGCAAUUGCAUCACUCAAAGAUGAUCCCGCGUUGUAUUAGCUAGUUGGUGAGGUAAAGGCUCACCAAGGCGAUGAUACAUAGCCGACCUGAGAGGGUGAUCGGCCACAUUGGGACUGAGACACGGCCCAAACUCCUACGGGAGGCAGCAGUAGGGAAUCUUCGGCAAUGGACGAAAGUCUGACCGAGCAACGCCGCGUGAGUGAAGAAGGUUUUCGGAUCGUAAAACUCUGUUGGUAGAGAAGAACGUUGGUGAGAGUGGAAAGCUCAUCAAGUGACGGUAACUACCCAGAAAGGGACGGCUAACUACGUG